RNAcentral lists this transfer RNA (74 nucleotides) under Treponema sp. OttesenSCG-928-L16. Its description in RNAcentral is "tRNA-Val". It matches the Rfam family "tRNA". Rfam says of the family: Transfer RNA (tRNA) molecules are approximately 80 nucleotides in length. The record is from RNAcentral. Lineage: Bacteria; Pseudomonadati; Spirochaetota; Spirochaetia; Treponematales; Treponemataceae.
GGGCGCUUAGCUCAGCUGGUUAGAGCGUCUGGUUUACACCCAGAAGGUCAGAGGUCCGAAUCCUCUAGCGCCCA